This 2911-nucleotide long non-coding RNA is filed under the name Ananas comosus (pineapple). RNAcentral's name for it is "long non-coding RNA (ACOM_LNC021271)". Lineage: Eukaryota; Viridiplantae; Streptophyta; Magnoliopsida; Poales; Bromeliaceae. The record is from RNAcentral.
UUAGUGAGUUGAGUACUUGAUUUAGUGGACACAUGAGGAUUGGGUCUUGACAUGGAAUCCUAUAGUGCCGAGGAACAAAAGAUGGACUUGGACAUGUAAAUAAACUCACAGAGUGGCAUUUGGACUAGUGUAGUAGAGACACUAUGACAUGAACUUAAGGUAGAGAAUGAUCUCCUAAGUAGUGGCAUGUAAACCAAAGAUUGACAUUUGGACUAGUGUAGUGAAACACUUACAGCUUGAUACAUGAACUUAGAAUAGAUAUUGAUUUCCUGAGUAGUAGCAUGUGAACUAGUGCAAGAGGCACUAACUAUCCUCGAGUGAGAGUGUCACGCCCCGCGACCACCCGCCUAUUUGGCCGGGUCGCGGCGUCGCCGACAGAUCGCCGAACGGACAGGGUUUCCCCUGUACUGCGGACAGAGUCUCCCCUGUACGUUCAAGGCAUAGCAAUCAAUACAAGUACAAUGAGUUCCAACCAGGAACACAUUUCAAUCAAGAUUGCAUAAUGGAAGGUAUCAAACAACAUAACACAUCCUAUGUUAUUACAUGCAUUCACAUUCAUACAUUUUACAUCCCAAAUACUUAUUACAUUUAACUUCCAAAUACAAUCCGAUUUAACAUGAUUAUUACAAUCUUAUUCCUUUUUUUUUCUUACAUCCCUAAGUAAAGGCCGACUCAGGGUACCGCUAUCUCUGGUCUCGGUGGUAAGGCGCUAACUAUGGAGCUACGCCCUCGCUUCGCGCCGCCGCGCCGCUCACGUGUGAACCUGUAAACACCCCAAAACCACGUGGGGUGAGAACCAACUCCAUGGUUCCCAGUGGGUACGGCCACCCAAGGGAAAAGCUCGACCAAUAGGUCCAAGGGAGGCAACUGCAAGUUAGUUCAAUAAACAGAUAGAUAUAUAUCUUUAUUAUGCAACUAAUAAAACCAUGCUUUGCCUCACGAAUGCAAUAAUGCCAUGCUAUAUGCGAAUCAUGCAACUAUACAAGUAGAAUAAAUGAUUUUACUUUGUAUCAUGCUAUCCAUAGCUUUUUCAUAAUUUAUACAUCUUAUCACUUUACAUCAUUGGUUAUUUGCUCCUAAGGUUUUCCUCUACCCUAGCCAAGCUAACCACCCGACUCGGUCUCGAGUCAAUCAACUGCGGAAUACCGCACCAAAACUAGGCUCGAGGUGAUGGACGUCUCACAUACACCUCAGCCCUAAAUCCUCUCAACUGGGAUACCAAACCCGUAACACAUAAUGCUAUACAUUCACUUGGCUUUGACCCAAUCUUACCGGUUAACCAUGUUAACCCCAAUGACUCACAACCCAAAAUCCCUUAAUAACGGGGGACUCGAACCUCCCUAGGGACCGUCUUCUGGGGGGACUUUACCACGCCCAGUGGUGACCAACUCCGGAGCGCACCGCCCGAGGGGGAGCUACCUCCCUCAAGCCAAGACUUAUCGUGAGUAUCGAUCAAUCCUCAACUUGAGGAUUCAUAGCCACUAGUCACAAUGCCAAUGUCACAAUAGGUUUCUACCUAUUUAAUCAUGCUACUCUAUGUCAAAUGGUCCAAUGCCACUCUUGGUUAAACUAUGUUUAACAACUAUAUCCUCUAUGCAUAUCAAUGUCUCUAUUGUCAAUGUUGCCUUUGUUUACUAAUGUCCAAGUCCAACUCUCACAUUCACACAAUAAUAGGGUUCUAACAUACAUGUCCAUUAUGGUUCUACCUUUCUCUAUGUUCAACUACGUUAGAAACAUGUCAUUGAAAGUAACCAAGGUUCACAUGUACUUAGCCCUAUUAUGUAUGAAUGAUACAAAUAUAUAUGCUCAAUGCCACAAGUGUUUGCUAGGUUCAUGACACUAGGUUCACACUAUACUUGUUCAACCUAUGUUCAAUACACUAGGUUUAAUGCCACUUGAUGUCCAACCUAUGUUCUUUGGCACUAGAUUCAUAUCCUCCAUGUCCAACCUAUGUCCAUGACUCUAGGUUUAAUGCCACUCGAUCUAAUGUAUAUAGAUUGUCCAUAUGCACAUUUCCAUUUCUUAACAUUAGUAUCUCUACAACAUGAUCAUCAAGUAUAUCUUAGCAUUAGCCACAUGCUUGCAUUUAUUAUUUCUACAUCAUGCUUAUCAUACCAUUACUUAGCAUUAUCCCCAUGCAUGCUUAUCAUGUAAACUUUAACAUUACUCAAUGCAUUCAUCUAGCACUAUUUACACUAAGUCAUCAUGCAUUCCUCUUAUCAUGUUCUUAUAAUGUUAACAUUCAUAUGCCCUUUAUCUUAUGCAUUCAAAGCAUUAAUCACAUGCAUUUAUCUAGCAUUUCUAUAAUAUGUUAACAUGCAUUCUUUUCACAUUCUUACAUUAUGUCAAAUGCAUUCCUCUAGCAUUUCACAUUAUAUGUCAACAUGCAUCAAUAUGAAAUCUCAUUUCUUAGACAUAAAGGGCGACCUAGUCGCUUCGGUAAGCACAACCCACCUCAUUUCGCAUUCCGAUUGCUUGUCGACACUUGCAAUCGGCCGCCCGCGGCACCCGGCACCCGGUUUGGCCCGAUCUCUCACGCGACCACCCGAACGGCCUCCAAUUCACGAUCCGAAAAUUAAAGGUCUUCGGUUAUGUGCCACGAUGCUUCAAAUCCAUUUUCAUGAAUUUACGAUAUCGCCUCGGCCCUCCCGGCGGACCCGAAGCCUAAACGUCCAUUUCUUUAAUAACUUUGUAACGGCUCGUCGGAUUGCCGAACCGUCUUCGCCAACGCGUUUCGUUACCUAGCAAUUAGGUUUACGAAGGGUCAAAUGAGAUCAAACCCUCAUAUUUUGAAAGUUUGCAUUUUGGAGCCCUAAUAUGAAUUAACCUCUAAAUAAUCCAAAUCAAAUGGAGCAAACAUGUUUAGAAUGCUCAUUAGAGGCUAUUAGAACACUUAAAACUAAGGAUUAAG